This 285-nucleotide unclassified non-coding RNA is filed under the name Hevea brasiliensis (rubber tree). The record is from RNAcentral. Lineage: Eukaryota; Viridiplantae; Streptophyta; Magnoliopsida; Malpighiales; Euphorbiaceae.
AGAAUAUCAAUCUCGAAUAAUGACAGAAAGAAAACAAGUAGCUUUCUGAAAAUGGUUUUCUUGGACAACUCUCUAUCAAUGGCAAAAAUUUGGAUCUCUGGACCCUGUAAUCUCCAUCUAAAAAUUAACCACCCACACAUUUCAUCACCUAUUCUUCUGAGACCUUGAAAAAAGUGUAGGAUAGGAUCAAAUUGUUGAUGCCGUCCAUUUUUGGAUCAGUUUCAAACUCAGGAUCAAUGUAGAAGAACACAGGCAUGUCGAUCUGCUCCCCCGGAAGUAGACGUU